RNAcentral lists this ribosomal RNA (567 nucleotides) under Leptobrachella bashaensis. Its description in RNAcentral is "Leptobrachella sp. n. YZ-2020 partial large subunit ribosomal RNA". It matches the Rfam family "Bacterial large subunit ribosomal RNA", at positions 1810 to 2609 of the family's 2925-position model. Lineage: Eukaryota; Metazoa; Chordata; Amphibia; Anura; Megophryidae. The record is from RNAcentral.
AAAACAUCGCCUUUUGACCAUUAUUAAAGGUAACGCCUGCCCAGUGACUAUUUAGUUUAACGGCCGCGGUACUCUGACCGUGCAAAGGUAGCGUAAUCACUUGUCUUUUAAAUAAAGACUAGUAUGAAUGGCAUCACGAGAACUAAUCUGUCUCCCUCCCCCAAUCAGUGAAACUGAUCUCCCCGUGCAGAAGCGGGGAUAACACCAUAAGACGAGAAGACCCUGUGGAGCUUCAAAUCAAAAAUCAACUGCUCUCCUUUCCCUGUCAUAAGGAAAUAUUUUUGCAAAUGCUGAUUUAGGAUUUUUAGCUGGGGCGGCUAUGGAGAAAAAAAAAUCCUCCACGAAGAACUGUGCCAAGAGCUACCGCUCUAAGCAUUAAUAAACUAACUUUAAUUGACCCUUUUUGAUCAACGGACCAAGUUACCCCAGGGAUAACAGCGCAAUCCACUUUCAGAGUCCAUAUCGACAAGUGGGCUUACGACCUCGAUGUUGGAUCAGGGCACCCAAGUGGUGCAGCCGCUACUAAAGGUUCGUUUGUUCAACGAUUAAAGCCCUACGUGAUCUGAG